Desarmillaria tabescens is the source of this 98-nucleotide non-coding RNA. The record is from the annotation of a RefSeq genome assembly. NCBI's taxonomy places the organism in Eukaryota, Fungi, Basidiomycota, Agaricomycetes, Agaricales, Physalacriaceae.
GCCCGCCUAGCUCAAUCGGAUAGAGCGUCAGACUCUUAAGUUGUUCAAGGCGGCGGUAACAGAUCUGAAGGCUGCGAGUUCGACCCUCGCGGUGGGCU